AUACUGAAGCAUGAACGGGAUCUGUUCUAUAGGCUCGUACUUCUGUUUCCUUGAUUUCUAAGGAGACAGGAAACCAACCCUGGUGGAUGAACCAUGACCGUUCGAUCAGAGUGUGAUUAAUGGCUAGAUCUUCUUCAGAAGAUUACGGCUGUAGAGGAUCGUUCUCAGCUAGUUCUUCUAGCCGGGGUGGUUGAUCGGUUGUCUGACAAGUU
Molecule: small nucleolar RNA, 212 nt
Organism: Cannabis sativa
Lineage: Eukaryota; Viridiplantae; Streptophyta; Magnoliopsida; Rosales; Cannabaceae
Product: small nucleolar RNA U3
Exons: 1
Source: RefSeq, a predicted model, not a curated record